CGGCGGACGGGUGAGUAAUGUAUGGGGAUCUGCCUGAUGGCGGGGGAUAACUACUGGAAACGGUAGCUAGUACCGCAUAAUGUCUACGGACCAAAGCGGGGGACCUCCGGGCCUCGCGCCAUCAGAUGAACCCAUAUGGGAUUAGCUAGUAGGUAAGGUAACGGCUUACCUAGGCGACGAUCCCUAGCUGGUCUGAGAGGAUGACCAGCCACACUGGAACUGAGACACGGUCCAG
RNAcentral lists this ribosomal RNA (235 nucleotides) under uncultured bacterium. RNAcentral's name for it is "partial 16S ribosomal RNA". It matches the Rfam family "Bacterial small subunit ribosomal RNA", at positions 96 to 334 of the family's 1533-position model. The record is from RNAcentral.